AUCCAUGACUCCAUGGGAGCUGACCUGUGGCUGACUCCCUUCCUAGGCAUGGAAGAGCAGGGCCUUGCUAAUUGGCAUAACUUUUACCCUUUUGUGGGUAUGAGUCGUUGACUGUGGCAAGUAACAAAC
Molecule: small nucleolar RNA, 129 nt
Organism: Cyanistes caeruleus (blue tit)
Lineage: Eukaryota; Metazoa; Chordata; Aves; Passeriformes; Paridae
Source: Ensembl